UACGUAGGGUGCAAGCGUUGUCCGGAAUUAUUGGGCGUAAAGAGCGUGUAGGCGGCCCGGUUAGUCCGCUGUGAAAGUCCAGGGCUCAACCCUGGAAUGCCGGUGGAUACUGUCGGGCUAGAGUCCGGAAGGGGCGAGUGGAAUUCCGGGUGUAGCGGUGGAAUGCGUAGAGAUCCGGAAGAACACCGGUGGCGAAGGCGGCCUGCUGGGCAGUUGCUGACACUGAUGCGCGACAGCGUGGGGAGCAAACAGG
RNAcentral lists this ribosomal RNA (253 nucleotides) under uncultured bacterium. RNAcentral's name for it is "partial 16S ribosomal RNA". It matches the Rfam family "Bacterial small subunit ribosomal RNA", at positions 524 to 776 of the family's 1533-position model. The record is from RNAcentral.